Molecule: ribosomal RNA, 439 nt
Filed under: uncultured Sedimentibacter sp.
Lineage: Bacteria; Bacillati; Bacillota; Tissierellia
Description: bacterial SSU rRNA
Rfam family: Bacterial small subunit ribosomal RNA
Source: RNAcentral
CCUACGGGAGGCUGCAGUGGGGAAUAUUGCACAAUGGAGGGAACUCUGAUGCAGCGACGCCGCGUGAGUGAAGAAGGUCUUCGGAUCGUAAAACUCUGUCCUUGGUGAAGAUAAUGACGGUAGCCAAGGAGGAAGCCCCGGCUAACUACGUGCCAGCAGCCGCGGUAAUACGUAGGGGGCGAGCGUUGUCCGGAUUUACUGGGCGUAAAGGGUGAGUAGGCGGUUGUAUAUGUCAGGUGUAAAAGGCUAUGGCUUAACCAUGGUUAGCACUUGAAACUGUACAACUUGAGUGCAGGAGAGGUAAGUGGAAUUCCUAGUGUAGCGGUGAAAUGCGUAGAUAUUAGGAGGAACACCAGUGGCGAAGGCGACUUACUGGACUGUAACUGACGCUGAGGCACGAAAGCGUGGGUAGCAAACAGGAUUAGAUACCCCUGUAGUC